Molecule: ribosomal RNA, 497 nt
Filed under: uncultured bacterium
Lineage: Bacteria
Description: partial 16S ribosomal RNA
Rfam family: Bacterial small subunit ribosomal RNA
Source: RNAcentral
GAUGAACGCUGGCGGCGUGCCUAAUACAUGCAAGUCGAGCGGACGGACGAGAAUCUUGCUUCUCUGAUGUUAGCGGCGGACGGGUGAGUAACACGUGGAUAACCUACCUAUAAGACUGGGAUAACUUCGGGAAACCGGAUCUAAUACCGGAUAAUAUUGUGAACCGCAUGGUUCAAAAGUGAAAGACGGUCUUGCUGUCACUUAUAGAUGGAUCCGCGCUGCAUUAGCUAGUUGGUAAGGUAACGGCUUACCAAGGCAACGAUGCAUAGCCGACCUGAGAGGGUGAUCGGCCACACUGGAACUGAGACACGGUCCAGACUCCUACGGGAGGCAGCAGUAGGGAAUAUUCCGCAAUGGGCGAAAGCCUGACGGAGCCACGCCGCGUGAGUGAUGAAGGUCUUCGGAUCGUAAAACUCUGUUAUUAGGGAAGAACAUAUGUGUAAGUAACUGUGCACAUCUUGACGGUACCUAAUCAGAAAGCAACGGCUAACUACGUG